CCAGGCACGGGGCCUGCGGGGUGAGGUAGUAGGUUGUGUGGUUUCAGGGCAGUGAUGUUGCCCUCUCGGAAGAUAACUAUACAACCUACUGCCUUCCCUGCGCGCCCCG
This 109-nucleotide microRNA precursor is filed under the name Dasypus novemcinctus (nine-banded armadillo). RNAcentral's name for it is "miRNA (ENSDNOG00000046862.1)". The stretch from base 16 to 101 matches the Rfam family "let-7 microRNA precursor family". From Rfam's summary of the family: This family represents the microRNAs (miRNA) let-7 and mir-98. let-7 was identified from a study of developmental timing in C. elegans, and was later shown to be part of a much larger class of non-coding RNAs termed miRNAs. The extents of the hairpin precursors are not generally known and are estimated based on hairpin prediction. The products are thought to have regulatory roles through complementarity to mRNA. Lineage: Eukaryota; Metazoa; Chordata; Mammalia; Cingulata; Dasypodidae. The record is from RNAcentral.